Molecule: long non-coding RNA, 216 nt
Filed under: Dermacentor andersoni
Lineage: Eukaryota; Metazoa; Arthropoda; Arachnida; Ixodida; Ixodidae
Description: uncharacterized LOC126543852
Source: RNAcentral
AAGUGCUCGCCACUAAUUGUCGGCGCUAAGAACUCUGCUGCCGUAGGCCCUAGUGGUUUAUAGUUCAAAGCGAAGACAACCUCUGAAGUGUGCCUAUGGAAGAGGCUAACAACGAGAGCGCGACCGUUGCGCCCUAUAUGCCUUACGGACGACGGGCGAGACCCUUCCGUGGAAUGUUUCGACGCUUGUGCCGCACAGACUGGAGAGGGAAUCGUU